Molecule: ribosomal RNA, 253 nt
Filed under: uncultured bacterium
Lineage: Bacteria
Description: partial 16S ribosomal RNA
Rfam family: Bacterial small subunit ribosomal RNA
Source: RNAcentral
UACAGAGGUCUCAACCGUUGUUCGGAUUCAUUGGGCGUAAAGGGUGCGUAGGCGGUCGCGCAAGUCGGAUGUGAAAUCUUAGGGCUCAACCCUGAAACUGCAUUCGAUACUGCGUGGCUAGAGUACUGGAGAGGAGACUGGAAUUUACGGUGUAGCAGUGAAAUGCGUAGAUAUCGUAAGGAAGACCAGUGGCGAAGGCGGAUCUCUGGGCCAUUACUGACGCUGAGGAGCGAAAGCGUGGGGAGCGAACAGG